UACGGAGGUGGCAAGCGUUGUUCGGAAUUACUGGGCGUAAAGGGCGCGUAGGCGGCAUGGCAAGUCAGAUGUGAAAGCCCCGGGCUUAAUCCGGGAAUUGCAUCUGAAACUGCUGUGCUUGAGUCCUGGAGGGGGUAGUGGAAUUCCCAGUGUAGCGGUGAAAUGCGUAGAUAUUGGGAGGAACACCGGUGGCGAAGGCGGCUACCUGGACAGUGACUGACGCUGAGGCGCGAAAGCUAGGGGAGCAAACGGG
RNAcentral lists this ribosomal RNA (253 nucleotides) under uncultured Acidobacteriota bacterium. RNAcentral describes it as "uncultured Acidobacteria bacterium partial 16S ribosomal RNA". It matches the Rfam family "Bacterial small subunit ribosomal RNA", at positions 524 to 776 of the family's 1533-position model. The record is from RNAcentral. Lineage: Bacteria; Pseudomonadati; Acidobacteriota.